Molecule: long non-coding RNA, 1442 nt
Organism: Lytechinus pictus (painted urchin)
Lineage: Eukaryota; Metazoa; Echinodermata; Echinoidea; Temnopleuroida; Toxopneustidae
Exons: 3
Source: RefSeq, a predicted model, not a curated record
AUAGGUUUUGUACAUAACAAACAUGGCUGCCAUUUGGCCAAUUUGAAGGUUGAUUUUGGAAGGUCAAUGUUUAAUUCAUGAGUAAUGACGUCAAAAUACGCAUAAUGCACUUGUAUGAUUGGAUAAAACGCUAAUGUUUUAUUCAUGUCCUCAUGCAUUAAACAUUUUUUUCCAUCCCACAAUUCCCUACGAUAUCUGUGCGAAGUGUUGUUCUUUUUGACUCUGCGAAAUUCAACUUUUUGAAAUACAAUAGCAAGACUAAUUAUCUGUUUAUAGAAUUAGUGUCCGGAAUCAUGAUUUCUGAGUGAAAUUCAGUUGAGCAGAAAAUCUUUGAGGGAACAUCUACAUCAGAGUAAUGGCAUUCCAUGCAAAUAAAAAUCCAAUAGGAUCAAGUUCUUAGCAGUCCCAGCCUAGUCAGAAGUACAAAGUCAACUACCAUUUGCACAUCACCAAGAGUAACAAUCUGAUGAGGAAUAGGAUAUCUGAACUGAAAACUUGCAAGGUUUCACAGGCUGUUUUAGUACCACCAGGACAGAUUAAGAAGAAAUAUGGAGGCCAAGUUCAUAACAAGUAGUUACUUAAUCACAAUUACACAUUUUAAAAAUUGAAUGAAUUUGAAUAUUGUCAAUACAUAUUGAAUUUUGCUUAAACUACACAUCUUUAGAAAAAAAUAGCAUUGGAGUAUAAAUAUUUAGGUCCAUAGGUUUCACACAAGAUUAAAAUAUAUUCCCAAAGGGCACACCUACCCACCCAUUAUUAAUGUUCUAAUCAUCUAAAUGUAGUACUUAUAGUAGUGAAAGAACUUUUAAUGCUAUUAGUAGUUUGAAAGGGAUAGUUUGUAUUCUGGUAAUAAAAUCAAUUCAGAAUGGGUCUUUACUGAGGUCUGGGCUAUGUAACAUACAUGCCUACAGAAAUACACAAGAAAAUAAGAAAUAAUGGAUUUUCAUUGAAAAAAUGUGCAUUCUAAAAAAACAAGGUUACAGAACAAAGGAUUAAGAAAUCACUCUCACUCCUGGACCCCAUUUCAUUACUAGACUAACCACUAUUCUAACGUUGCCAUUCUGGUAAUUACCGUGGAAACAAGCAACAGAUCAUCAGUGAGGUUCCCAUGCUAGUUGCUAGUUACAAUUGGGGCAAAUUUACCAUAAUUCAAGUCUUUAUGAAACAAGGACCUGUAGUGCUGGACAUUAACUGUUGAAUUUAUUUUUUGGGGAAGUGAAUACCUAUGAAAGUGAAUAUACAUACUCAUUUUUUUCGAUUUUUUUUUUCUCUAGAUUUUACCUAAAAAAUUACAUCCGUUCCCUUGUAACAGGCUUGCAAUUUCUGUUGCAUUCAUUAUAUGCAUUUUGCUGAUGUAAUGUGAUGCUUUGGCGAGAACAAAAGGAUAGGAAUAUUUUUAUCACAUAUUUCAAAAAUUGAUUGCUUAUUAAACAUUUUAAUUU